GAAACCUGGUUGAUCCUGCCAGUAGUCAUACGCUCGUCUCAAAGAUUAAGCCAUGCAUGUCUAAGUAUAAACGCUUUAUACUGUGAAACUGCGAAUGGCUCAUUAUAUCAGUUAUAGACUAUUCAAUAAUCUCUUACUACUUGGAUAACCGUAGUAAUUCUAGAGCUAAUACAUGCAUAAAUACCCAACUUCAC
This 194-nucleotide ribosomal RNA is filed under the name uncultured eukaryote. RNAcentral describes it as "partial 18S ribosomal RNA". It matches the Rfam family "Eukaryotic small subunit ribosomal RNA", at positions 1 to 192 of the family's 1831-position model. The record is from RNAcentral.